This 1841-nucleotide long non-coding RNA is filed under the name Mus musculus (house mouse). Its description in RNAcentral is "long non-coding RNA chr9:57019371-57021212". The record is from RNAcentral. Lineage: Eukaryota; Metazoa; Chordata; Mammalia; Rodentia; Muridae.
GAUGAAGACGCAGAACUCUCAGCUCUACCUGUACUCUUCCUGUCUGGACGCUGCCAUGCUUCCACCUUGAUGAUCAUGGACUGAAUCUCUUAACCUGUAAACUAGCCCCAAAUAAAUGUUCUCCCUGUAAGAGUUGCCUUGGUCAUGGUGUCUAUUCACAGCAGUAAAACCUAAGACAAUGUUUUUAAAUUAAAAUUUAAAAUUACUUUUAUUUAUUUAUUUGUCGGUGUGCAUACAUACAAUUCCAUGGCACGUGGGGUUCAGAGGACAGUUUGCAGGGUCCGCCAUAUGGGACCUGGCAAUUGAGCUAGAGGCAAGUGCCUUUUCCUGUUGAGUCGUCUUUCUAGCUCCCCUUCUUCCUCCUACUUUUUUUUAGAUGGAAUUUCAUAUAGACCAGACUGGCCUAAAACUUGAUAUGUAAAAGAGUCUCAUUUGGGGAAAAAAAUAAUAAUUUUUGCCUGCUUGUUCCUGUUAUGUUUCUAAAAUAUAUUCUCUUUUUACUAACUGUCCUCAUUUUUUUUUAUUUAAACAGGCUACCAAGCAGUUUCUUGAAGAGAUCAACAAGUGGACAGUACAGUAUAAUGUUUCUCCACUCUCCUGGAAUGUGGCUGUCAAGUUCCUCAUGGCCAGAAAGUUUGAUGUGCUCCGUGCUGUAGAGUUGUUCCACUGCUACAGAGUGAGUGGCUCAGGGCCAGCUAAGUAUUUCUAUUUUUUUCCUGCUUUACGUUGUACAUGGUGAUUUUCUACUUCUCUCUUAUUCUGUUAAAGUGGGUCAAUGUCCACCAAUCCUAUGAGAGCUGAGGUUGGGCUCCUGGAGACACUUGCUUAAUGUGCACAAAGCUUGCUUGCAGACCAGCCUGCUACCUGUGAGAACUGAGGCGAAGAAUGUUCCUUAAUGUCAUCCUGUGGCCACUCCUGGGGUUUUCCUCCUUGCUCUCUUCCCUGCCUCCUGGAUAACCUGUUUGGUAUAUUUUAUAGCUGUACUUUAAGGCCUCAUGAAGUUGUAGAAAGCUGCCAUUCUGAUGAACUUUGAGCUAAAGAGCUAUUCAAGAAAAGAUUGGUGCUAGUGUCAGCUAGGUCCCAUUCUUGGCAGUGUCUUUUUGGUAUUUGUUUUGUUUUGUUUUGUUUUGUUUUGUUUUGUUGAGACAGGUGUCUUUGUGUAGCUAGCCUCUGCCUUGUGAGUGCUGGGAUUAAAGAUGUGAGCCACCAUUGCCCAGCUACAAUUUUUUUUUUAAUUAAAAAAAAUUUUUUUUAAGAAUAUUUAUUUUAUGUGAGUAUACUUGCUGUCUUCACACCAGAAGAGGGUGUCAGAUCCCAUUACAGAUGGUUGUGAGCCACCAUGUGGUUGCUGGGAAUUGAACUCAGGACCUCUAGAAGAACGGUCAUUGCUCUUAACCACAGAGCCACCUCUCCAGCCCUUGUUUUGUUUUUUUGAGACAGGGUUCUCCAUGUAGCCUUGACUGACUGUCCCAGAACUUGCUCUGUAGACCACGCUGCCUCUGCCUCACAAGUGCUAAAAUUAAGGGCAUAAUCUACCAUAGCUGGCUAAGAUUUUUUUUUUAAGGAAGUUUAAGACUGAUUCUGUGUUAUGUCUGCUUUCUGGGAUUGUAGCAUCUUUGAUUGAAAUGCUGUAUGUUAUGUUACUUUGUGGUUAGAAAUUUCUUCUGAAGAGAUACCAUCUAUCCUUAAAAAGAAAAAGAAAUCCUAGGAAAACAAACAAGCACUGGGAUUAGCUCACACUUAUCGUACGGCUCAUCCAGUACUCACUUAUUUAUUCCAUAGAUAUUAAUGGAAUACAUACUAUGUUAACCAUGCCGCAGUUGUUACUUAGGAGAGAGAGU